GGGGGAGUAGCUCAGCGGAAAGAGCGUAGCGAACUUGCAUUCUGUGUUUGAAACCUAAAAACCUACGUCAGCGUGCUCGGUUCCUAAGGUCAUGGGUUCGAAUCCCAUCUCUCCUA
Non-coding RNA from Podospora conica, 116 nucleotides. The record is from the annotation of a GenBank genome assembly. NCBI's taxonomy places the organism in Eukaryota, Fungi, Ascomycota, Sordariomycetes, Sordariales, Podosporaceae.